GACGAACGCUGGCGGCAUGCCUAAUACAUGCAAGUCGAGCGAACAGAUGAAGUGCUUGCACUUCUGACGUUAGCGGCGAACGGGUGAGUCACACGUAAGGAAUCUACCUAUAAGCGGGGGAUAACAUUCGGAAACGGGUGCUAAUACCGCAUAAUAUCUUCUUCCGCAUGGAAGAAGAUUGCAAGACGGCUCUGCUGUCACUUAUAGAUGACCUUGCGGUGCAUUAGUUAGUUGGUGGGGUAAUGGCCUACCAAGACGAUGAUGCAUAGCCGACCUGAGAGGGUGGUCGGCCACAUUGGGACUGAGACACGGCCCAAACUCCUACGGGAGGCAGCAGUAGGGAAUCUUCCGCAAUGGGCGAAAGCCUGACGGAGCAAUGCCGCGUGAGUGAAGAAGGCCUUCGGGUCGUAAAACUCUGUUAUAAGAGAAGAACAAAUUGUAGAGUAACUGCUACAGUCUUGGCGGUAUCUUAUCAGAAAGCCACGGCUAACUACGUGCCAGCCGCCGCGGUAA
Molecule: ribosomal RNA, 513 nt
Filed under: uncultured bacterium
Lineage: Bacteria
Description: partial 16S ribosomal RNA
Rfam family: Bacterial small subunit ribosomal RNA
Source: RNAcentral